GUAGGAGGAACAUAUCAGUAAGCAAUGUCACCUCUUGAAGCCUUGAAUAUAUUAGCCUGCACAUCUGUUGCAGGCAACACUAGUCUGUUGCUGGGACUCUCCAUGGGAAAACCAGCAGCCACAGUGCCGACAAAGUGCUGUGGUUCACAGAUCAAACACUAGUGGCCCACUCGAAUUUAGAAUGUGGGUUGAAAUAUGACCGGCCCCGUCUAGGAAUAGGCGGGAUAUAGUGUUCCGUAGGUGAACCUGCGGAAGGAUCAUUACCGAGUUAGGGUCUCUCAGGCCCGACCUCCCACCCUCUGUGUACCUACCUUUGUUGCUUUGGCGGGACCGCUGGGGAGACCCACCGGCGGCCUUGCAGGCGGCCGAGCGCCCGUCAAAGACCCAUCAAACCCUGUUAAUCGUGCCGUCCGAGUACAAACACAAUAAUCAAAACUUUCAACAACGGAUCUCUUGGUUCUG
RNAcentral lists this unclassified non-coding RNA (462 nucleotides) under rhizosphere metagenome. RNAcentral's name for it is "partial ribosomal RNA internal transcribed spacer region". The record is from RNAcentral.